AUGCGGAGGAUCCGAGCGUUAUCCGGAUUUAUUGGGUUUAAAGGGUGCGCAGGCGGCCAUUUAAGUCAGCGGUUAAAUCGUGGGGCUCAACCCCAUUCUGCCGUUGAUACUGGGAGGCUUGAUUGCGGUCGAGGUUGGCGGAAUUCGUUGUGUAGCGGUUAAAUGCAUAGAUAUGACGAAGAACACCGAUUGCGUAGGCAGCUGACCAGACCGCAAAUGACGCUCAUGCACGAAAGUGCGGGGAUCGAACAGGAUUAGAUACCCUGGUAGUCCGCACAGUAAACGAUGAAUACUUGUUUUCGGCGAUAUAAUGUCGGAGGCAAAGCGAAAGCGAUAAGUAUUCCACCUGGGGAGUACGCCGGCAACGGUGAAACUCAAAUGAAUUGACGGGG
This 392-nucleotide ribosomal RNA is filed under the name uncultured bacterium. Its description in RNAcentral is "partial 16S ribosomal RNA". It matches the Rfam family "Bacterial small subunit ribosomal RNA", at positions 523 to 918 of the family's 1533-position model. The record is from RNAcentral.